This 124-nucleotide small nucleolar RNA is filed under the name Prolemur simus (greater bamboo lemur). RNAcentral describes it as "Small nucleolar RNA SNORA48 (ENSPSMG00000016809.1)". It matches the Rfam family "Small nucleolar RNA SNORA48". From Rfam's summary of the family: The snoRNA ACA 48 has been identified to guide pseudouridylation of the residue U3797 in the 28S rRNA subunit. Its host gene EIF4A1 (eukaryotic translation initiation factor 4A1) is shared with U67 and snoRNA mgU6-77 Lineage: Eukaryota; Metazoa; Chordata; Mammalia; Primates; Lemuridae. The record is from RNAcentral.
UGUCUCUGACCUGCAUAGAGUGGCAUUUGAUUGGGUGGUGCCCAUUUCAUAUCAGCCAGAGACAAAGCAACCCCUUGUUUAUCCCAGCUUGUUUUUUGGUUUGUGCCCAUACCUGGACACAGGG